UAGGGAAUCUUCCGCAAUGGACGCAAGUCUGACGGAGCAACGCCGCGUGAGUGAAGAAGGAUUUCGGUUCGUAAAACUCUGUUGUUAGAGAAGAACAGCGCAUAGAGUAACUGUUAUGCGUGUGACGGUAUCUAACCAGAAAGCCACGGCUAACUACGUGCCAGCAGCCGCGGUAAUACGUAGGUGGCAAGCGUUGUCCGGAUUUAUUGGGCGUAAAGCGAGCGCAGGCGGUCAAUUAAGUCUGAUGUGAAAGCCCCCGGCUCAACCGGGGAGGGUCAUUAGAAACUGGUUGACUUGAGUGCAGGAGAGGAGAGUGGAAUUCCAUGUGUAGCGGUGAAAUGCGUAGAUAUAUGGAGGAACACCAGUGGCGAAGGCGACUCUCUGGUCUGUAACUGACGCUGAGGCUCGAAAGCGUGGGUAGCAAACAGG
Molecule: ribosomal RNA, 429 nt
Filed under: Bacteroidota bacterium
Lineage: Bacteria; Pseudomonadati; Bacteroidota
Description: Bacteroidetes bacterium partial 16S ribosomal RNA
Rfam family: Bacterial small subunit ribosomal RNA
Source: RNAcentral